This 312-nucleotide ribosomal RNA is filed under the name Triticum aestivum (bread wheat). RNAcentral describes it as "partial small subunit ribosomal RNA". The record is from RNAcentral. Lineage: Eukaryota; Viridiplantae; Streptophyta; Magnoliopsida; Poales; Poaceae.
AUGAGGAAUUUGCACAAGCUUGUUAAGAAGAAGCAUGUCAUUGGCAUCGAGAAUGUAAAAUUCCUUAAGGAUCACCUAUGCGGAGCCUGUGAAGCUGGGAAGAUGACGAAGGACAAGCAUCCAGCGAAGACUAUCAUGACCACCACUCGCCCAUUUGAAUUGCUUCACAUGGAUCUAUUUGGUCCUAAUCAUUAUUCUGCUAUUUCGAAUAAAGCAUCUCAAUAUGGCUUUGUUAUUGUUGAUGAUUACUCUCGUUACACAUGGGUACACCUUGUUACUUACAAACAUGAAGUGCAGGAAGUCUUCAAAUGA